GACGAACGCUGGCGGCGUGCUUAACACAUGCAAGUCGAACGAUGAUCAGGAGCUUGCUCCUGUGAUUCGUGGCGAACGGGUGAGUAACACGUGAGUAACUUGCACCUGACUCUGGGAUCCGCGUUGGAAACGACGUCUAAUACUGGAUAUGAUGACUGGGCGCAUGGUCUGGUGGUGGAGAGAUUUUUUGGGUGGGGAUGGACUAGCGGCCUGGCAGCUUGUUGGGGAGGAAAUGGCUCACCAGGGCGACGACGGGGAGCCGGCCUGCGAGGGUGACCGGCCACACUGGGACUGAGACACGGCCCAGACUCCUACGGGAGACAGCUGUGGGGAAUACUGCACAAUGGGCGAAAGCCUGAUGCAGCAACGCCGCGUGAGGGAUGACGGCCUUCGGGUCGUAAACCUCUUUUAGUAGGGAAGAAGCGAAAGUGACGGUACCUGCAGAAAAAGCACCGGCUAACUACGUGCCAGCAGCCGCCGUAA
This 483-nucleotide ribosomal RNA is filed under the name uncultured bacterium. RNAcentral's name for it is "partial 16S ribosomal RNA". It matches the Rfam family "Bacterial small subunit ribosomal RNA", at positions 28 to 523 of the family's 1533-position model. The record is from RNAcentral.